UCAUCUGAUGAUGAUAUCUCAUGGGGCUGUUAUGAAGAUUAAAUGAAUCAGUACAUACGAAGAAUUAAGAAGAAUUUCUGGAACAUGGCACCCGGUCUCCACUGGCAUAAAAGAAAAAUCCUUUUCCAGAAAUGGUUUCAUUACAUGCGAUGUAAACUGCCUUCCUUUGCUAACUGAUCUGCAGACUUUGCUUGGGCACCCGUUCAGAUAUAGUAGUGCACACCACACCAGAAAGACCCGGCAAGCAGAGCUGAUUAUACAGGGUAGCCAUGGGCUUCCAAAGAUGGAAAUACUCCAGGGACAUAGGAAGUGCCUGAGUGAUCUGGUCCUUUGAGGAACCACUCUUCUAAAAG
Delphinapterus leucas (beluga whale) is the source of this 353-nucleotide non-coding RNA. The record is from RefSeq and is a predicted model, not a curated record. NCBI's taxonomy places the organism in Eukaryota, Metazoa, Chordata, Mammalia, Artiodactyla, Monodontidae.